Oncorhynchus masou masou (cherry salmon) is the source of this 5264-nucleotide long non-coding RNA. RefSeq lists it as uncharacterized. The transcript has 2 exons. Lineage: Eukaryota; Metazoa; Chordata; Actinopteri; Salmoniformes; Salmonidae. The record is from RefSeq and is a predicted model, not a curated record.
UCUAUCUUGUUAAAUAAACACCAACUAAAGCGUGACAGCAAUUUUUUUUUUUAACAUUGUUAUUUCUAACCAGCACCGAUACUAACGGUACCUCCACCCCGGUCUGUAAAUUUACAGCGGUUUCCCCCUGAGGUGCUGUGAAGCAAAGGGCAAUACAGCCAGCAUAGAUCAGGUCUAGACAUCCCCUCCUGUUGUUCUCUAAACAUUUGUGGUACAAUAGGUCCAUUUUUGCAUACAGGAUGGCGCCCCGAAAAACAGUCAAACAAACCCCUGGGCUGUAAAGUCAUUACAUACUAUCUCCCGGUCACGACAGAGGUCCUGAUGAAACAGACCGUAUUCUACCCAUCUGUACGACCGGCUUUAACGUAACUACAAACCCUGGACAACAGCCCAAAAGAGCGGAAGACCGAACAGCUAAAAGAUAAUCUGUGAAUCAUUCCUCGUGGAGCUUUUUGAAGGUGAGUUAGUGAAAAUAAUAUAUUAGAUUUGGAUGCGUUAGGUAUUUUUUCUGGCAAUUACAAUUUGAUAUUGUUCUAACAUUAAACAGACAUAUGUGUUUUUUACAGAUAUUCAAAAACGGGUGGACAACGAUUUUUUUAGGGAUGUAUUUAGGCCAAAAUGCAUGUAUUUUUACAAGUUAAAGUGUAUAUAUUUCGUAUAAAUACAUGUUAAUAUUAUCUAAAGUCUAGGUUAUACAACAUUGAGCCAACUGCUCCCGGGGAUAAAUGCCUUGGAUCAUCCAACAUCAGCUGUUAUAACUAUCCCUGAUGAGGCUUCAGAAGAACAACUGGAGGACACCGAAUUUUAGGAGAUAUCUAUAUGUCAACUGUAUGUAUUUUUUAUGAUAAAAUGUCUAACCAACACCAAAGGCCCUACACCACGAGAGGACAUGGUCGAGAAGGCAGGGGUACCCCGGAACAUAACGGGUACCCCGGAACAUAACGAGUAAAACAUUGAAGUCGGAUAAUUUCCCAGCUUUAAAUGACAUUUCGGAGGUCGCUGAUUUGCGGUUGUUUGAAAUGGACAGACAGACAACAUGAUAAGGACAACUCCGAGAUAUAACAAUAUUCAGUCAAGAUAUUCUAAAACUGGAGGACAACGAUUUUUACGAUAUAUCGCUGUCAAUUGUACGUAUUUUUUAUGAUAAAAUGUGUAGAUGUUUUGUAUAAAUAUAGUUGAAUAUUAUUGUAGAAAAGCCCAAGGACGUUGGUGGAAACGUCCUUUAAUUCGAGGCCUCAUACUCAGCGGUGCCAGGGAAUGCCUUAAUUAGGUCGGGUGGAAAUGUAUGACAGAUCUCAUCCCAUAAAAUGAGUAAAUAGCCAUAGCCCGAUCUCGCUGAUUUCUCUUCCAUCUAAUCCAGAAGUUCGGUGCGACCAUGAAUCCGUGUUAGUCAUCCGAAUUUGGUUAACUUUCAUUGGAACUUUCUGUUGCCAUCGGUUAUUGAUUUAUAGUUAUUACCGCGGAGAGCGGCUUGGCGCGCAUGCUUCAAAUCUAACGUGUAAUGUGAUUUGGUCAAUGAUCAAGAUCCUACGGAUUAUCACAGGCCAAUUAUGCCAAAAUUAUAUGGUUAAUAUGUCAUGAAAUUACAUGGACACAUGAAGACACUUGAAAGGGUGAUAUAUGAAACGGCAAUGUUUGCGGAACUGAUCGAUUCCGACAUCAAACUAAUGGGUAUUAAUAACCGAUUACUGUAUGUAUUAUACCUCUCAUGAUUAUGAUAAAUAGUUACGAGCAUAAAUGACUCAAGGACGAUACCUAUUGACUUCUUAAUGAACCGGCAUGUGGAAUUUCCUAAGUAUGUUAAUGAUUGUCAUGAUUUGAUCUUUGUGAUUAUGAAUUUGAUAGGAUACAUGUUACGAAUUUGAUCAUUUCACCUGUUAUUCUGUUUAAUUUGUUAGGUCGCACAGACUACUCAGUAAAUAUACCACUUUAUGGUUAAAGGAAUUCUGGCCACAGUCUCAUCCAUUGCUCUCUCACCAGACAUGUUACCACCUGUUCACCUUCAAUGGCGGACAUCCUACAUGUUCAGCUACCCACACAGAUUCCACUAAUCUUUCAAUUAUUUUAAACGGCUACAGGAUUCCACCGGGACCCAGCAUGUUAUCCCCACAAACUGCGGUCCCAGCUUCCGGCAGGGCAGGCCGGAGGGGCAGGUUUCAGGUCGAGCCAGACCGGUCGCACCGGGGCCUCGCUGGCUUUCUGGCGCAGCACUGCCCGCUGGAGGUGAACAUGGGUGGUGUCCCAUGUCUCCUCCGCGCGCCUGAACCAGUCGUCCACUGCAGGAGCCUCAGUCUGACUGACGCCACGGCGCCAGAAACGGCUGAUACCCCAGUACGCACUGGAAGGGGGAGAGUUCUUGACCAGGUUUGCACACACUGCAGCAGGGAUUUUGGCCCACUCCUCCAUACAGACCUUCUCCAGAUCCUUCAGAUUUCGGGGCUGUCGCUGGGCAAUACGGACUUUCAGCUCCCUCCAAAGAGUUUUUAUUGGGUUCAGGUCUGGAGACUGGCUAGGCCACUCCAGGACCUUGAGAUGCUUCAACACCCUGCAUUAUCACAUUCAUGCAUGCAAAAUGUUCACUUACACUACUGAUUACACACACCAAUGUAUAUUGUAAGUUUACUUUAUUUAAUAAAUAUAUGUUUUGUUACUCCUUAUCUCCACGUUGUCUCCCUUUUGUUACGGGCUUUGAGCCGGCUCGUGACAAAUGGCGGCUCAUCUGGGAUAUUUGAACGUAUUGGUUUGGGAGAACGUGGAGGUACGUGUUUGGUUUGCAUAUUUUGUUUGAGUUUGAUAGGCCCAGUAUUGGUUGCCUUUGUUGUUUGGUUUGUGUGCUGAGUUGGAGUAUAAUGGUUAGUUUUCAGCCAGGAAUCUCUUGUUCUACUUUCUGUUGGGACAUCAGUCUGAGGAGGUGAGUAAUCUGUGUACCUCAGUGGGAGAUUUGGAUAGGGUAGUGGAACUUGCUACCCGGAGCUAGAGCCUUUUUCCCCUGAUAGUGUUAGCGACGUGUUUCCUUUUUGGAAUAUGUUGGGCAUGGUUAAUGUUUGUUAUUUUUGUAUGGUGUCUGUGGCCAGAGCAGUUGUCUCAAAUCAAAUCUAUUCAAAUUUUAUUUGUCACAUACACAUGGUUAGCAGAUGUUAAUGCGAGUGUAGCGAAAUGCUUGAGCUUCUAGUUCUGACAAUGCAGUAAUAACCAACAAGUAAUCUAACUAACAAUUCCAAAACUACUGUCUUAUACACACAAGUGUAAGGGGAUAAAGAAUAUGUACAUAAAGAUAUAUGAAUGAGUGAUGGUACAGAGCAGCAUAGGCAAGAUACAGUAGAUGGUAUCGAGUACAGUAUAUACAUAUGAGAUGAGUAUGUAAACAAAGUGGCAUAGUUAAAGUGGCUAGUGAUACAUGUAUUACAUAAAGAUGCAGUAGAUGAUAUAGAGUACAGUAUAUACGUAUACAUAUGAGAAUAAUAAUGUAGGGUAUGUAAACAUUAUAUUAGGUAGCAUUGUUUAAAGUGGCUAGUGAUAUAUUUUACAUAAUUUCCCAUCAAUUCCCAUUAUUAAAGUGGCUGGAGUUGAGUCAGUGUGUUGGCAGCAGCCACUCAAUGUUAGUGGUGGCAGUUUAACAGUCUUAUGGCCUCGAGAUAGAAGCUGUUUUUCAGUCUCUCGGUCCCAGCUUUGUUGCACCUGUACUGACCUCGCCUUCUGGAUGAUAGCGGGGUGAACAGGCAGUGGCUCGGGUGGUUGUUGUCUUUGAUGAUCUUUAUGGCCUUCCUGUAACAUCGGGUGGUGUAGGUGUCCUGGAGGGCAGGUAGUUUGCCCCCGGUGAUGCGUUGUGCAGACCUCACUACCCUCUGGAGAGCCUUACGGUUGUGGGCGGAGCAGUUGCCGUACCAGGCGGUGAUACAGCCCGCCAGGAUGCUCUCGAUUGUGCAUCUGUAGAAGUUUGUGAGUGCUUUUGGUGACAAGCCGAAUUUCUUCAGCCUCCAGUUUGUCUGUGAUGUGUAUGCCGAGGAACUUAAAACUUACUACCCUCCCCACUACUGUUCCAUCGAUGUGGAUAGGGGGGUGUUCCCUCUGCUGUUUCCUGAAGUCCACAGUCUCGGGGGCACAUUCGUGGCUUGGUGUAAUUUUCCACCAUGCUGGGGAGUUCUAUUUCCUUGCCAGCGGGCUACAAUGUGUAAAUACCCACCGCAACACGCAGGAAGACUAGGGUUGAGUUAUUGUAGGUUUUGGGGAAGCUCUGUAUCUCAUCUGUCUUCUGUGGUGCUCAGGGUGAUUGUCAUUUCUCUGGUUGUGGUCUGAUGUGCUCAGCAGAGGGGUUGAGUGAGAUUAUUUACUUAUGACUAUGGAGUCUUAUGUAGACUGUUCAUUCGCUUUCCAUCAGAGGACCUGUUAGAAUUAUGUACUAAAGAACAGCUGUUGAAGAUCGCUGAACACUACAAGGUUGAAUGAUUGAAAUUAGUGAAAUUCUGUUAUGUUGGGAAGUGACUAUGAAUUGUUGGGAAGUGACUAUGAAUUGUUGGGAAGUGACUAUGAAUUGUUGGGAAGUGACUAUGAAUCGUUGGGAAGUGACUAUGAAUCGUUGGGAAGUGACUAUGAAUCGUUGGGAAGUGACUAUGAAUCGUUGGGAAGUGAAGUGUUGUCAUGUUCUAUCUUUCCUGUCUGUUCCCUCCUGGUCUUGUGUUCUUCUUUCCUCUUAAACGUUGCUUCCUGUGCGCAAAGGUUGCUGAGGUCUGGGGAGGAGGUGGUUGGCUGGGGAAAGUGGAAGUGUGAAAACGUAACCCCUCAUCAAUUUGGGAUGCAGAGGCUGUGUCAAUUUGGGGACGCAGGGGCUGUGUCAAUUUGGGGACACAGAGGUCGGUAUGUUCCGGGGUCCUUGUUGGUCCCCGGUUUUAUGGGGGGGGGGGGGGGUGUGACGACCCUCCCACUCUGUCUGCCGUAUUCUCUCUUUGUUCUUUUUUCCAUAUUAGGAUGGUCGGUGGUCGGAGUUGGGAGGGUCGUCAGCUACAUGGGAAACACCUGGGCCCCGUGUGUCCCAGGAUAAAUACACCACUUCCCCAUUCAUGGAGGAGACUCUCUCCAUGCAGACACCUUUAUAGAUUUUGUUGUGUAUCUUGGUGGUUUUGGGGUGUUUGCGUUGGCACCUUUCAACACCCUGCAUUAUCACAUUCAUACAUGCAAAACACUCACUUACACUACUGAUUACAAACACCAUUGUAUAUUGUACUUAGUUUACUUGAUUUAAUAAAUAUAUGUUUUGUUACUCCUUA